UACGUAGGGUGCAAGCGUUAAUCGGAAUUACUGGGCGUAAAGCGUGCGCAGGCGGUUAUGCAAGACAGAUGUGAAAUCCCCGGGCUCAACCUGGGAACUGCAUUUGUGACUGCAUGGCUAGAGUACGGCAGAGGGGGAUGGAAUUCCGCGUGUAGCAGUGAAAUGCGUAGAUAUGCGAAGGAACACCGAUGGCGAAGGCAAUCCCCUGGGCCUGUACUGACGCUCAUGCACGAAAGCGUGGGGAGCAAACAGG
Molecule: ribosomal RNA, 253 nt
Filed under: uncultured bacterium
Lineage: Bacteria
Description: partial 16S ribosomal RNA
Rfam family: Bacterial small subunit ribosomal RNA
Source: RNAcentral